This 1272-nucleotide unclassified non-coding RNA is filed under the name Haliotis rufescens (red abalone). RNAcentral describes it as "hemicentin-1-like, transcript variant X1". The record is from RNAcentral. Lineage: Eukaryota; Metazoa; Mollusca; Gastropoda; Lepetellida; Haliotidae.
AUACGUCGUAAUUUAAGCAAGACCUACCUCAGUCCGUGGGUGAUCACUACAUGUACACUACGUGUAUCCAAGAUGCAGACUCUUACCAUGCUGACUGGUCUAUGCUAAGAACACGCAGGUGAAGAAACUGACAUUGGGUCACAGUGCUUUCGGAUACAAGUUGUUACAGACACAAAUCAAAGCCACCGUGUGCAUUAACAGACGCAGCGUGCGGGAUGAGGGGAGGUCAAACAUGGCUGUUACUACUAAUGGUGCUGGUUGACCGUUGUCAAGCCGUUCCUCCAGUCAUCUCCGGGUUUCCUUCAGUCUACCGAGUUAUAGCAGGUGACGAAGUGGGCAUUGACUGCAGCACCUACACAACCGACGGUGUACCGCCGACCACCACGUACAGCUGGCGGAGCGGCGCCUACCGCCAAGAUGGUCCUGUUCUGGGGCGGGUUGUUCAAAGGGGUAUGGACAGUGAAACCUACAACUGUACAGCAUCCAACACCCAAGGAGAGGCCACAGCGUCUGUGUUCGUUGAUAUACUAUACGGACCAUGGCCCCCUCCACGUGGAUCUUCAGAGAGAAUGAUGGAAUUUUCGAACUUUGGAGAAGAUGGAAGGGGUGGAUUCACCCCAGGGAACCCCAACGUUACAUCCUUUGUGUGGACAGGGCCUCAGAAUUUCACAUCAAACGGUUCUAUACUGUACAUCCAGAACAUUACCAGAUCUCAGCGAGGGACUUAUACCUUGACCGCCUCCAACUUUCUACAGCCAACAAACAAACCUCCAGUGUGGGCUGAAACGUAUUAUUAUGUCCAUCUUGACGUGUACUACCCUCCAAACAUAUCCGGCCUACAAAGAAGCAUCUUGUUGGAGAAUGUCCUAAACCUGAAUUGUAGUAACUACACAACGCCAGGCAACCCAGAUUUCGAGAACACGUUCAUGUGGAGUGAUGAGGAUGGCAACAACAUCACCGGCCCAAUUCUGACCCUCAACUCCUCUUUUAUUGGGACUAGGACCAAACUCCGCUACACCUGUUACGUCAGCAACUUAAUUGGGAGCGACACAGCCUACGUUGAUGUGAUUCUGGUUUAUUCCAUCUGAGGUAAGUAGGUCACCGUCACUAACACUGCCGGAAUGAAGUCAAGAUGGACUUCGCGGACUAAGCAAUGGAAAACAAAAAGAUCGCAGAUCUUGCGAGUUAUGACGAUACAACUCAGAGGAAUCCUAACAAUGCAGCAUUCGGAAAACGAUCUGAUGAGAAAUCAAGCGCCAAAAGCAUUCAUUU